This 73-nucleotide transfer RNA is filed under the name Thermoplasmata archaeon. RNAcentral's name for it is "tRNA-Asp". It matches the Rfam family "tRNA". From Rfam's summary of the family: Transfer RNA (tRNA) molecules are approximately 80 nucleotides in length. Their secondary structure includes four short double-helical elements and three loops (D, anti-codon, and T loops). The record is from RNAcentral. Lineage: Archaea; Methanobacteriati; Thermoplasmatota; Thermoplasmata. RNAcentral also lists the same sequence under 1 other name.
GCCCCGAUAGUCUAGUGGUCUAGGAUCACGGUCUGUCGAGCCGUGGGCUCGGGUUCAAAUCCCGAUCGGGGCG